GUUGAAGAUACGUAUAUAGCUGUACAGUUACCUAGUUUGUAUAGGAUUUUAGUUUAUUCGUAUCUUUUCCUAAUUAGCUAAUAUUCCUAAAUUAGCUCUCCUAAAUAAGGUAGGUCUCGUCUGACUCCUCUCUAUAAGAAGAGUCUUGUACAUCAGUAAAUUAAUACACACAAAUUCUCCCAUACCUGUCCGAUUAAUAUUCUGUGUUUUACAUUUUUCUACGGUGCUCUUCUGGUUUUCCCCUUAUGGAGAUAAUAUGAUUCAAUGCUUGAAAACAAUAUGAUUUUUGUGCUUUGUCUUGUUAUCAUGGAUAACAAGAAAUCCUUCACAAUAAUAAUAUAAGUAUCUUCUUGAAACUUGAACUAGUGUUGCUCAGACUGAAUUCCUCUCUGGUCAUGGAUCUUAAUUUCUGUAAAACACCAUUUCCUUCUUGAUUUAGAAUCUUGAACUCUUUGAACAGUAAAAAAUGCUUAACUGGGAGCUCUUUGAACAGUAAAAAAAAUGCUUAACUGGGAUUUGUGUAUUUUUUAAGAUCUAGACGUUUGCUUGAACUGGUGCAGUUGUGUCUAUGUAUAUGCUCUUAACAAGCAUAUGCUUUUACAGUUUGUCCGUCUUUCCUGAAGUGUUAAGGUUUGUACAGGUA
This 643-nucleotide long non-coding RNA is filed under the name Linum usitatissimum (flax). RNAcentral describes it as "long non-coding RNA (LUSI_LNC006316)". Lineage: Eukaryota; Viridiplantae; Streptophyta; Magnoliopsida; Malpighiales; Linaceae. The record is from RNAcentral.